UACAGAGGUCUCAAGCGUUGUUCGGAUUCAUUGGGCGUAAAGGGCGCGUAGGCGGCGAGGUAAGUCUGGUGUGAAAUCUAGGAGCUCAACUCCUAAACUGCACUGGAUACUGCUUUGCUUGAGGACUGGAGAGGAGAUUGGAAUUCACGGUGUAGCAGUGAAAUGCGUAGAUAUCGUGAGGAAGACCAGUGGCGAAGGCGGAUCUCUGGACAGUUCCUGACGCUGAGGCGCGAAAGCGUGGGGAGCAAACAGG
This 253-nucleotide ribosomal RNA is filed under the name uncultured bacterium. RNAcentral's name for it is "partial 16S ribosomal RNA". It matches the Rfam family "Bacterial small subunit ribosomal RNA", at positions 524 to 776 of the family's 1533-position model. The record is from RNAcentral.